Molecule: ribosomal RNA, 634 nt
Filed under: Arthrobacter sp. So3Pw_2812
Lineage: Bacteria; Bacillati; Actinomycetota; Actinomycetes; Micrococcales; Micrococcaceae
Description: bacterial SSU rRNA
Rfam family: Bacterial small subunit ribosomal RNA
Source: RNAcentral
CCUGAUGCAGCGACGCCGCGUGAGGGAUGACGGCCUUCGGGUUGUAAACCUCUUUCAGUAGGGAAGAAGCCGUAAGGUGACGGUACCUGCAGAAGAAGCGCCGGCUAACUACGUGCCAGCAGCCGCGGUAAUACGUAGGGCGCAAGCGUUAUCCGGAAUUAUUGGGCGUAAAGAGCUCGUAGGCGGUUUGUCGCGUCUGCUGUGAAAGACCGGGGCUCAACUCCGGUUCUGCAGUGGGUACGGGCAGACUAGAGUGCAGUAGGGGAGACUGGAAUUCCUGGUGUAGCGGUGAAAUGCGCAGAUAUCAGGAGGAACACCGAUGGCGAAGGCAGGUCUCUGGGCUGUAACUGACGCUGAGGAGCGAAAGCAUGGGGAGCGAACAGGAUUAGAUACCCUGGUAGUCCAUGCCGUAAACGUUGGGCACUAGGUGUGGGGGACAUUCCACGUUUUCCGCGCCGUAGCUAACGCAUUAAGUGCCCCGCCUGGGGAGUACGGCCGCAAGGCUAAAACUCAAAGGAAUUGACGGGGGCCCGCACAAGCGGCGGAGCAUGCGGAUUAAUUCGAUGCAACGCGAAGAACCUUACCAAGGCUUGACAUGAACCGGUAAUACCUGGAAACAGGUGCCCCGCUUGCG